GGUGGCUUAGUGGUAGAGUGUUUGCCUUGCAUGCAUUAGGCCCUGGGUUCAAAUCCUCAGUACCA
This 65-nucleotide transfer RNA is filed under the name Dipodomys ordii (Ord's kangaroo rat). It matches the Rfam family "tRNA". From Rfam's summary of the family: Transfer RNA (tRNA) molecules are approximately 80 nucleotides in length. Lineage: Eukaryota; Metazoa; Chordata; Mammalia; Rodentia; Heteromyidae. The record is from Rfam by way of RNAcentral.